ACCAUUACGAUGAAACAAAUUGAUGUUU
RNAcentral lists this small RNA (28 nucleotides) under Bombyx mori (domestic silkworm). Its description in RNAcentral is "ovarian small RNA-11246". Lineage: Eukaryota; Metazoa; Arthropoda; Insecta; Lepidoptera; Bombycidae. The record is from RNAcentral.